RNAcentral lists this ribosomal RNA (481 nucleotides) under uncultured bacterium. RNAcentral describes it as "bacterial SSU rRNA". It matches the Rfam family "Bacterial small subunit ribosomal RNA", at positions 501 to 985 of the family's 1533-position model. The record is from RNAcentral.
CUACGUGCCAGCAGCCGCGGUAAUACGGAAGGUCCAGGCGUUAUCCGGAUUUAUUGGGUUUAAAGGGAGCGUAGGCGGAUUGUUAAGUCAGCGGUUAAAGGGUGUGGCUCAACCAUGCAUUGCCGUUGAGACUGGCGAUCUUGAGUGCACACAGGGAUGCCGGAAUUCGUGGUGUAGCGGUGAAAUGCUUAGAUAUCACGAAGAACUCCGAUCGCGAAGGCAGGUGUCCGGGCUGCAACUGACGCUGAGGCUCGAAAGUGUGGGUAUCAAACAGGAUUAGAUACCCUGGUAGUCCACACAGUAAACGAUGUAUACUCGCGGUUUGCGAUAUAGUGUAAGCCGCCAAGCGAAAGCAUUAAGUAUACCACCUGGGGAGUACGCCGGCAACGGUGAAACUCAAAGGAAUUGACGGGGGCCCGCACAAGCGGAGGAACAUGUGGUUUAAUUCGAUGAUACGCGAGGAACCUUACCCGGGCUUAAC